UACGUAGGGGGCAAGCGUUGUCCGGAAUCAUUGGGCGUAAAGCGCGUGUAGGCGCCAGAAAAGUCCGCUGUGAAAACUCGAGGCUCAACUUCGAGCUGUCGGUGGAAACUUUCUGGCUAGAGUCCGGAAGAGGAGAAUGGAAUUCCUGGUGUAGCGGUGAAAUGCGCAGAUAUCAGGAAGAACACCCGUGGCGAAGGCGGUUCUCUGGGACGGUACUGACGCUGAGACGCGAAAGCGUGGGGAGCGAACAGG
This 252-nucleotide ribosomal RNA is filed under the name uncultured bacterium. Its description in RNAcentral is "partial 16S ribosomal RNA". It matches the Rfam family "Bacterial small subunit ribosomal RNA", at positions 524 to 776 of the family's 1533-position model. The record is from RNAcentral.